GAUGAACGCUGGCGGCGUGCCUAAUACAUGCAAGUCGAGCGGACGAACGGAACUCUUGCUUCUCUUCUGUUACCGACGGGCGAGUAAUUCCUACGUAUAUGCCCUACCUUUAGGACUGAGAUCCCUUCAGGAACCCUAAUCUCGUACAGGAUCAUAUUUUGAAACUCGUGGUUCCUCAGACCAAGCCGUUCUUGCUGUCACUUAUAGAUGUUUCCUCGCUGCAUUAGCUAGUUGGUAAGGUAACGGCUUACCAAGGCAACGAUGCAUAACCGAUCUGAGAGGAUGAUCGGUCACACUGGAACUGAGACACGGUACAGACUCCUACGGGAGGCAGCAGUAGGGAAUAUUCGGCAAUGGGCGAAAGCCUGAUGGAGCAAAGCCGCGUGAGUGAUGAAGGUCUUCGGAUUGUAAAACUCUGUUAGUAGGGAAGAACAGAUGUGUAAGUAAACGUGCAUAUCUUGACGGUACCUAAACAGAAAGCAACGGCUAACUACGUG
Molecule: ribosomal RNA, 497 nt
Filed under: uncultured bacterium
Lineage: Bacteria
Description: partial 16S ribosomal RNA
Rfam family: Bacterial small subunit ribosomal RNA
Source: RNAcentral